AAGAAACCACCGGUGAGAUUUCAUCCCUUGAAAAGCCACCGCCUCCAGCACCUCCACCCUCAGUGGAGCACACCCUCCCUGGUGGGAUUGGAACUUAUACUAUUAGCCACAUUUCUAAUUAUUUCAAUCAAAGAAUCUCAAAGCCAGAAGGUAGCGCAAUAUUCACCGUAGCGCAAGCCAGCAGUGCAGAGAAAAAUGAGGAUGAUUCCAACUGCAGUUCUUAUACCG
Molecule: unclassified non-coding RNA, 228 nt
Filed under: Hevea brasiliensis (rubber tree)
Lineage: Eukaryota; Viridiplantae; Streptophyta; Magnoliopsida; Malpighiales; Euphorbiaceae
Source: RNAcentral